This 422-nucleotide ribosomal RNA is filed under the name uncultured bacterium. RNAcentral describes it as "bacterial SSU rRNA". It matches the Rfam family "Bacterial small subunit ribosomal RNA", at positions 355 to 774 of the family's 1533-position model. The record is from RNAcentral.
UAAGGAAUAUUGGACAAUGGAGGCAACUCUGAUCCAGCCAUGCCGCGUGAAGGAAUAAGGCCCUAUGGGUUGUAAACUUCUUUUAGACGGGGCAAAACCCCUUUACGUGUAAAGGGUUGAUGGUACUGUCAGAAUAAGCAUCGGCUAACUUCGUGCCAGCAGCCGCGGUAAUACGAAGGAUGCAAGCGUUAUCCGGAAUUAUUGGGUUUAAAGGGUGCGUAGGCGGACUAAUAAGUCAGUGGUGAAAGCCUGCAGCUUAACUGCAGAAUUGCCAUUGAUACUGUUAGUUUUGAGUACAGUUGAGGUAGGCGGAAUGUGUCAUGUAGCGGUGAAAUGCUUAGAUAUGACACAGAACACCGAUUGCGAAGGCAGCUUGCUAAGCUGUAACUGACGCUGAGGCACGAAAGCGUGGGGAGCAAACA